AGUGAACGCUGGCGGUAGGCCUAACACAUGCAAGUCGAACGGCAGCACAGUAAGAGCUUGCUCUUACGGGUGGCGAGUGGCGGACGAGUGAGGAAUACAUCGGAAUCUACUUUUUCGUGGGGGAUAACGUAGGGAAACUUACGCUAAUACCGCAUACGACCUACGGGUGAAAGCAGGGGAUCUUCGGACCUUGCGCGAUUGAAUGAGCCGAUGUCGGAUUAGCUAGUUGGCGGGGUAAAGGCCCACCAAGGCGACGAUCCGUAGCUGGUCUGAGAGGAUGAUCAGCCACACUGGAACUGAGACACGGUCCAGACUCCUACGGGAGGCAGCAGUGGGGAAUAUUGGACAAUGGGCGCAAGCCUGAUCCAGCCAUACCGCGUGGGUGAAGAAGGCCUUCGGGUUGUAAAGCCCUUUUGUUGGGAAAGAAAAGCAGCAGGUUAAUACCCCGCUGCUCUGACGGUACCCAAAGAAUAAGCACCGGCUAACUUCGUG
RNAcentral lists this ribosomal RNA (492 nucleotides) under uncultured bacterium. RNAcentral's name for it is "partial 16S ribosomal RNA". It matches the Rfam family "Bacterial small subunit ribosomal RNA", at positions 29 to 507 of the family's 1533-position model. The record is from RNAcentral.